Molecule: ribosomal RNA, 1339 nt
Filed under: uncultured bacterium
Lineage: Bacteria
Description: bacterial SSU rRNA
Rfam family: Bacterial small subunit ribosomal RNA
Source: RNAcentral
GUUAACGCUGGCGGCGUGCCUAACACAUGCAAGUCGAACGGUUCUAAGCGCGAGCUUAGGAUAGUGGCGAACGGGUGAGUAAAAGGUAGGAAUCUACCCCUUGGACGGAGAUAGCUACUGGAAACGGUAGGUAAACUUCGAUAAGCCCGAGAGGGGAAAGUGGUGAGACAGCCGAGGGAUGAGCCUACUCUCCAACAGGUAGUUGGUGAGAUAAAAGCUUACCAAGCCGAUGACGGAUAACCGGUGUGAGAGCAUGAACGGUCACAAGGGCACUGAGACACGGCCCAGACUCCUACGGGAGGCGGCAGUGGGGAAUUUUGGACAAUGGGCGAAAGCCUGAUCCAGCCAUGCCGCGUGCAGGAAGAAGGCCUUCGGGUUGUAAACUGCUUUAGUCUAGGAAAAAGGGGUGCGAGGUUAAUACCCUCGUGCUUUGAUGGUACUGGAAGAAUAAGCACCGGCUAACUACGUGCCAGCAGCCGCGGUAAUACGUAGGGUGCGAGCGUUAACCGGAAUUACUGGGCGUAAAGCGUGCGCAGGCGGUCUUGUAAGACAGUCGUGAAAUCCCUGGGCCUAACCUAGGAACUGCGAUUGUGACUGCAAGGCUAGAGUGUGUCAGAGGGGGGUGGAAUUCCACGUGUAGCAGUGAAAUGCGUAGAGAUGUGGAGGAACACCGAUUGCGGAGGCAGCUUACUAAACCGUUACUGACGCUCAUGCACGAAGGCGUGGGGAUCAAACAGGAUUAGAUACCCUGGUAGUCCACGCAGUAAACGAUGAUUACUUGCUGUUUGCGAUACACUGUAAGCGGCGUAGCGAAAGCGUUAAGUAAUCCACCUGGGGAGUACGUUCGCAAGAAUGAAACUCAAAGGAAUUGACGGGGGCCCGCACAAGCGGAGGAACAUGUGGUUUAAUUCGAUGAUACGCGAGGAACCUUACCCGGGCUUGAAAUGCAUUCGACUGGGUCGGAAACGGCCUCUCCCUUCGGGGCGGAUGCGUAGGUGCUGCAUGGUUGUCGUCAGCUCGUGCCGUGAGGUGUCGGCUUAAGUGCCAUAACGAGCGCAACCCCUGUCGUCAGUUGCCAUCGGUAUAAGCCGGGGACUCUGGCGAGACUGCCAUCGUAAGAUGCGAGGAAGGUGGGGAUGACGUCAAAUCAGCACGGCCCUUAUGUCCGGGGCGACACACGUGUUACAAUGGGCGGUACAGCGGGAAGCUACCCGGCGACGGGGAGCCGAUCCCGAAAUCCGCUCACAGUUCGGAUCGGAGUCUGCAACUCGACUCCGUGAAGUCGGAUUCGCUAGUAAUCGCGCAUCAGCCACGGCGCGGUGAAUACGUUCCCGGGCCU